GUCCGGUCCGGUCCGGUCCGGUCCUGUCCCGUCCCGUCUCUCGCUAACCAGUUCAGGUGCAGCUGUGCGUGAAAUGGACCCGUGUGGAUCUCGACUGCUUGGCUGUGCUCUUCUUCUCUCCUCCAGUCCGAAUGUAACGAUCACAGGACAGUGCUGGAGCCCAUCUCGGCAUCGGAAGGCAGGAAGCAUCCUGUACAGGUUGCCAGUCUAUUUCAGGGCAGACGCACAGACUGAGAGACGAGAGCGCUACCCACUGCACCACCAUGCUGCCAACUGUAAUGCUUGCAGAUGUUUUUUCUAACUCCUAGGCCUUUUUCUAACCAGUAGACCUUCUCUUCACUUUGGGAAACUGUAGAUACUCUCAUCCUUAACCAUGUUCUCCAGUUUUCAGUGCACGUGUGACAUUCACCAAGAGAAUGGUACAGGUCAGAAUACUUCACCCCUUACAUUGAGUGGCUCUGUUAUGCUAUCAGGGGCAUUUCACCGGCAUGGUUUGAGUCCAGUUGUCCACGUCCACAUGGAUGAGGGGUCACUGAACGGUUUGAUGGAAGUCAAAUUGAUGCAAGUCAUACGCUAUAGCCUUUGCAGUCAGGAGAGCUCAACCCAGGACCACCAUCAUCAAAAGAACAAUUAAGGGGAUAUCUUCUGAAAGAGCAGCGUUCCACUCCUUCAGAACAGUUCCACAGACUUGUAGAAUCCACGCCAAGGUGCACUGAAGCUAUUCUGGCAGUGUAUUAUGACCCCUGACCCCUUAUUAAGACAGUAUUUAUUUUUCUCCUUUAAUUUGUUGCACAUUUAUUUCCUCAUUUAGAAAACAUCAGCUAAAUAGAACAUCCCCAAAGUACAGAUAACCCAAAGUGCCUAGAUCUGCUGUGUGGUGUGAAUUGCCCAGUUGACUUGAAUCCACAUUAUUAAUUUCUUCAUAAGUAAAUUGUUGAGACAUAAACUAAUUCAGAGUAGUUUAAUGUGAAAGGCUCUGUUCUAGACAAGCUGUUCUGCUCAGCAACCAGACAUCUGAAACGUUUAAUGGCUCUAGAAGUGAGCUCACAGAAAGUGGUUUCAUUUCCACUGCCUCAUGUUUUACCAUAGUUACAAAAGUACAACGUGGUCCUUAAGGUCCAAUGGUACAUCUCAUUAAAUGCACACCUCAUUCACUUUCCCAGGUUUAAAAUGCACGUAACUCACUGGGGUCUAAGGAUAUUUUCUCGAUUUUUGCAUAUUGGAUUAAAUUUGCCUUUAAAGGCACUUGCGUUUUACGUGAUACUCAUAUGUUUCAAACCUAAAUGCUCCAUUAUCUUCAGCACAACUUUCCCAAACCGCUGCAGACGUAACCGGUUUGCACUCUUUUUGCAUGUGUCUGAUGUCCUGUGAUGGGAAAGUCUGUAGUGAUUCAUGAUGUGCAUCUCAACCAACCCCUCUUUACAGCCUCAUAACCCUGGAUGUGAGUCACGUACCAUCUCAAGUGAAUAUGGAAUCGAGAAGGAAGAUUGUACAAAUUCAUGAAAUGUUUGAGCCAUAUUUCUACACUGUGUUCUUACAAGCUUAGAGAAACACAGAAACGUGGAUUUUGAUGUCUGGGUGAGUUUAUGGACCCCAGGAGUUAAUGAAACAGAAUAUGGUAUAUUGGUACAAUUAGAAGCCCUUCCUGGUAACGUGAGUGUGUUAAAGCAGGUAAAACACAAAAAUAUUCAAGGCAGGACACUUCAGGACCACAGCUGCAAACUAGCUGCCUCAAUCAAUCCUGUUCACUGUAUCCUAGAUGAGUGACUCAGUUCUAGUUCUGGGGUUCCACUGGUCUACUCAGUUUCUUCUAUUCCUUGGCCCAACACAUCUCAAAGUCAUUAUCAAGUCCUCUUGAUAUCCAGGAGCCUCUAAAUGCAAGAGGCCUCAGGAAGCCUCAGAGCAGAGGACAGUCCACUGGAUGUGCUGAACAUAUGAUGACUAAAUAAAGGAAAUGAAGAUCCCUCAGAUCAUAGCCCAUCACUAAAUAGAUAAAUAUAACUAAAUAUAAAAAAUUCAAGAGUGCAGAAAUAUUUACUUAUAUAUACGUAAUAUCUGGGCUGCAUCCAGAAACCCUGAAAGUUACAGCUUUUUCCUGCGGAUCCUCCUCCUUUCCUCCGUGACCUGGAAAACGAUUUCACAUGCCAGAGUAUACUUCCGAGUAUACAGAUUUUAGAGUGACAUCACUGCAGACACACAACCAGAGAGGAUGGAUAGAUGCAGAGAUCCAGCUAUACUUUAAAUUCCAUGUUUUAUUUGAGAUUAUAUAAAUUCUGUGUUGCGUAAAAAAAGCACACAAACGUGAACAGGCUGGCUCUGUGUAGCAGCUUAGGGUGAAUGUUGUGAUUGGCUCAUUUUGCCAGUAGUCAACAUUAAAUUUAAUGGCAUUUAACGGAAUCGGCUGUCCAUGACCACCCCCCCCCUCCUUUCCUCUCCUUUAUCACUCCGCGUUCUUCUGGGGGAGGAGCAGCAGGAUGGGGGCAGUACCAAAAGGUUCUGGAUGCAGCUCUAGAACAAGCAUAUAGGACGGUGGGUUCCAUGGACUGAAGUUGAGAACUACUCAUUUAAUACAUGUACUGCAUGUAUGUGUAUGUAUUUACCCACAACACGUUUAAUAAAUUUGGAAGCCCAAGUCUUUAAUUAUUACAUGCAUGUAAAAAAUGAAAAAUCUAGUUAAAGAAGCACAAACCUGAGUAGUGAGUCCAUAAGUGGUUACUAUGCUGUGCUUCCACCACGUAUUGUGACAGCUAGCUGCCCUUUUCCAGGUUGCCUACAUAACCAAAAAUUCAUUCACAUGGCAGAAAAAAUAAGACAGGAUAAAAGAGUCCAUGUGACUUUAUGAAACUGUUUUGUUCUUGGUUUUUUUGUAAACUGGGUGGCUGUUGAUUCUAUGGACAAGUUCUAAAUGUAGACCAAUGAGCUGGUCAUCGGUACAUUAAAACAGCAACCAUGUGUUUCCAGUAUA
Long non-coding RNA from Pygocentrus nattereri (red-bellied piranha), 2965 nucleotides. RefSeq lists it as uncharacterized. The record is from RefSeq and is a predicted model, not a curated record. Lineage: Eukaryota; Metazoa; Chordata; Actinopteri; Characiformes; Serrasalmidae. The transcript has 2 exons.